RNAcentral lists this long non-coding RNA (1301 nucleotides) under Homo sapiens (human). RNAcentral describes it as "HSALNT0342928". The record is from RNAcentral. Lineage: Eukaryota; Metazoa; Chordata; Mammalia; Primates; Hominidae.
CCCCCUCCCUCCUGAUGGUGACCUUGUCCCAGGUCUUCUACCAGGCCUUCUACCAGAUGCUUUGCUGAGAAUUCACAGAGGCCGUAGACCUGAAGAACCAACAACCUUCCAUAGGCUUUGAGGUCCCACUCCGGCAGCAGGACGUGCUGGCUCCCAGGAAUCACUGAAUUGACAAACAAUUGUGGAGGUUGGCAAUUCCAAAAUCUGAGGAGUAGGUAAACUGGAAGACUAGAGACCCUGGGAAGAGUUGAUGUUACAGCUUGAAUCUGAAGGCAGUCUGCUGGAAGAAUCCCCUCUUUCUUGUAGAAGCCCCUUGACUGGGCAAACUUCAAACAAGUGACUGAGCUCCCUUAGCUGCCACUGAUUGGACCAGGAUGGACAACAAAUGUAGGAGGAGUUCAUCUGGAUCUAGCCUGAGCCAGUCAGAUAUCCCCUUUGAAUCCAUGCCUAUAGAAAUACAAAAAAAUGGAAGCCAGAGGAUGAUGGAUCCUUGAAGUAAUAAGUCAGGUAGAUCUUGAAAAUUUUUGACUCAAUCCAUAUUGAUGAACACAAGAAUAAUUCUGGUCUACAAAGAGAGGCAAGAGAAAGACUUGGGGUGUAUUAAGAAAAACAGCUCUGUGGAAGUUUGAGUGACUCAUUGCAGAGAGGAAUUGAUGAAGUCAACAGCUGCUGGAAAAACUUCUUUUUCCUUAAUAGCUGUAUCAACAUGUGGUUGCUAUUAUUCAAAGUGGAUGAAAUAAUUCUGCAAGCCAGUGGGAACAGGAAGCUUCAUGAAGAGGAGAAAGGCUUAGGGCUCAGAAACCGCACAGAGCAGGAGGAUAGAUGAAUGUAAGGAACAGAGCUUUGAGGACAGACACCCCUGGAUUAGACAAUAGCUCCAAAACUUAUUAAUGAUGGUGAAUGGGUGACUUUCUAAAACCCUUUAAACCUUAUUUGUAAAAUGGGACCAUCAAUAUCUAUUUUGAAAUCUUGUAUAAAUUUGCAAUAAUGUCUGUAAAGUAUCUGACAGGAGCUCAGAAAUGACACAAUUCUUUAAAUCCACUCACACCCAACUUUUAAACAAAAAGUAGCAGUAUAUCCUACACACGAUUUUUAAAUUUUACUAUUUAAGUUAACAUCAUGCUAUGAACAUAUUUCCAUGUCAUUAAAUAUUCUAUUCCAUCCAAUAUUUAAAAGCUAAUAGAAGUCUGUUAAAUGCAUAUGCCAUAAUUUAUUUAACCAAUUCGGUUGUUUUAAUAUUUAUGUUGUUUCCAAUAUAUUAUGCUAUUGACAAUAAAAUGAUGAACAUUUAUGAUGAUGAA